AACGCGAAGAACCUUACCUGGGUUUGACAUGCUGGUGAAAGCCUUGUGAAAGCAGGGCCCUCCUUCGGGACACCAGCACAGGUGCUGCAUGGCUGUCGUCAGCUCGUGUCGUGAGAUGUUGGGUUAAGUCCCGCAACGAGCGCAACCCUUGCCCCGUGUUACUAACAGGUCAAGCUGAGGACUCUCGGGGGACUGCCGGCGUCAAGCCGGAGGAAGGUGGGGACGACGUCAAGUCAUCAUGGCCCUUACGCCCAGGGCUACACACGUGCUACAAUGGCCGGUACAGAGGGCUGCGAUGCCGUGAGGCGGAGCGAAUCCCUAAAAGCCGGUCUCAGUUCGGAUUGGGGUCUGCAACUCGACCCCAUGAAGUCGGAGUCGCUAGUAAUCGCAGAUCAGCAACGCUGCGGUGAAUACGUUCCCGGGCCUUGUACACACCG
RNAcentral lists this ribosomal RNA (437 nucleotides) under uncultured bacterium. RNAcentral describes it as "bacterial SSU rRNA". It matches the Rfam family "Bacterial small subunit ribosomal RNA", at positions 958 to 1392 of the family's 1533-position model. The record is from RNAcentral.